AGCACUUCGGUGCGAGUACAGCGGCGGACGGGUGAGUAACGCGUAGGAAUCUACCUAGUAGUGGGGGACAACAUGUGGAAACGCAUGCUAAUACCGCAUACGCCCUAUGGGGGAAAGCAGGGGAUCUUCGGACCUUGCGCUAUUGGAUGAGCCUGCGUCAGAUUAGCUAGUUGGUGGGGUAAUGGCCUACCAAGGCAACGAUCUGUAGCUGGUCUGAGAGGAUGACCAGCCACACUGGAACUGAGACACGGUCCAGACUCCUACGGGAGGCAGCAGUGGGGAAUAUUGGACAAUGGGCGCAAGCCUGAUGCAGCCAUGCCGCGUGUGUGAAGAAGGCCUUCGGGUUGUAAAGCACUUUCAGUUGUGAGGAAAGGGGUGUAGUUAAUAGCUGCACUCUGUGACGUUAACAACAGAAGAAGCACCGGCUAACUUCGUGCCAGCAGCCGCGGUAAUACGAGGGGUGCAAGCGUUAAUCGGAAUUACUGGGCGUAAAGCGUUCGUAGGCGGUCUAUUAAGCAAGAUGUGAAAGCCCAGGGCUCAACCUUGGAACUGCAUUUUGAACUGGUAGACUAGAGUACUGUAGAGGGUGGUGGAAUUUCCAGUGUAGCGGUGAAAUGCGUAGAGAUUGGAAGGAACAUCAGUGGCGAAG
RNAcentral lists this ribosomal RNA (649 nucleotides) under uncultured bacterium. Its description in RNAcentral is "bacterial SSU rRNA". It matches the Rfam family "Bacterial small subunit ribosomal RNA", at positions 74 to 720 of the family's 1533-position model. The record is from RNAcentral.